AGGGGCAGGAGCAGGAGCAGAAUCCACACGGAUACGAUGGGGACCAUGGGAUGUGCUGUGGGGCUGGGGGACGAGCUCCUUGCUCUGUACACCCCAGUGCAGGCUCUGGAGCUGCUGGCAAGGGCCGUGCUGCUGGCGAGACGCUGCUGGAUGGCUCCAGGUUUUUCCAGGCCCGUGUCUCAGUUUCUCUUGACUUUAUGUGUUUUUAUUUCCUAUUAAAAGCCGCUGUCUCAUUUCCUCCAUGAAAAACAAGGCUCUUUCAGCAAGAUGAAUUCCUCCAGCUCCAGCAAAGCCCCUGUCUGCACUCAGAAACAAACAGGCUGUGUGGGACCUGUCACCUUCUCCCCUCUUCUUGCCCCACAUCACCCGCUGGGCUUGGAGCAGGGCAGAGAUGGUGAAUCCCAUCCCCUGGGAGCGCAUGGAUGGUGCCUGCUGCACGGAUCCAUCGGGCUGGUGCCAUUUGCUGCCCUGCUCUUCCCCUUCCCUCCUGGGAGCCUUCUGUGCGUUGGGCAGGGUUUGCUGGUGGCUAAAGGAGGAGAAACCAGCGGCACUUCUCCAGGCUGCUGCAUCCCGUUGCCAUGCUGGGAACAGCAGGAAAGAGCCCUGGCAUCUGCAACCCUCCGUCCGCAAGGGAGACAGAUCCUGGGAGGCCCCAGGAGCAGCUCCCAGAGCAUCUGCCUCAGCUGGAAGCACAGCGCAGAUGCCUUUGGGAUGAAAACACUUCCUCCACCCUCCACCUCCACCUGACAUUUGGGAAUGUGGAGCCGCAGCUCCCUGGAGCUUUUCCCGUCUCUCCUAUUGGAGCCGUUACACAUGGCUCUGGAGGGAGCCAGGAGGGAGAGGAUCCUCCCUGGAUUGUGGUCCGGGUGUUCAUCCUGGCCGGCAGCACUGCACCAGGCCUGGGUGGGUCGCCUGCAUCCCGGGAUGUGGCUGGACACGGGGUGCACUGAAUUGGUGGGUCCUCAGCAUCCCUUUCUGAUGGCUCCGAUGGGUACCACGGACGUGGAUCAUAGAAUCAUGGAGUGGUUUGGGUUGGAAAGGACCUUAAGAUCAUCCAGUUCUAACCCCCUGCUAUGGGCAGGGACACCUCACACUAAACCAUAUCCCCCAAGACCCCGUCCAACCUGGCCUUGAGCACUGGUCCUUGCAGGGCAGAGCCAAGCUGCACGGUGCCAGCAUCCCAGCAUCCUUUCUGGAGCCCAAGCCCCCGGAGGGGUGCCUCCAUGGGGCAGCCCUGCCCCUCACACUGGCUCUGGCUCAGCUCCAGCCUGUCCCUCCAUGGCAAACACAGUGAUGGACACGGCCGGGGGACAGCAGCUCCUGGGAUGCUCCUGAGAGCUGAUUCUGCAGGGCUGGCAGCUCAGCUCUGCCUCCCGUCCCUCCUGCUUCCCUCAAAAUGAAUGUGCAAUAUUAAAGGAUCAGAGCUGAGCUCCCCGGGUACAGAGAAACAACAAAACCCUCUUUAUUUCCCAGCCCCCAGCUAUGGAUUUGGGAUGAAAUGUUGGUGCUGGUAGGCGUGGAAGGGCACUGCAGCCACAGCUUAACAGCCACGGUGCACAUCAGGACAGGGCCACAUCCUGCCCCUGUGCAGCUCCUUGGGAGAAGCCGGGGCUGUCCCUUAGGAAGGACUAAAGGAGAAAUGAGAUGAGGAGCGUUGCUUUGACAGCUUCUCAAGGUUUCCUUUGGGGAAUGAGGGGAACAAGCUCGCCUGGAGGAUGGGAUUUUCCAGAUGCUGGGAGAGGGGAAGGGAAGCAGGGGGUGGGAUACAUCAAAGGAAAGGCACAGCGCUUCCCAGAGCGGGUAUUCCCUGCAUGCCUCCGGUCUUGCCAGGUGUGGGGUGGGAAGCAGCUGUGAUUACUGAGUGCAGGAGAUUGCAUUAGGCAGGGAGUUAUCAAAUACCCUGAGCUGGAUGGGGGCAAGGGAGGUUUGCACCUUCAGUGAGUAAUUCCAGCCCGGAGGAGCUGCAGAGGCACUGGGGGCAAACCAGUGAAGGCCCCACUUCCCACGCUGUGAAGGUGCUGUGCUGGGAGCUGAGGAUGCUCUGGCCCAUGGUGAGCAGCAUCAGGACAAACAGGCCAUGGCUGGGAAAGGGGAUAAACCAAAGGGAUAGGGCAACAGGGGGACCAGGGCUGAGUGGGAUGCUGCAGGGGUACUGAGACUGGGAUCUCUCUGUGCCAGCAACGCUGUGAGCACAGGUUUGCUCUGUGGCCACGCUCCAUCACCCCCUUCUAUACAAGAGCAGGGCCAGAUUUGCUCCAGACACAGAAUAAACCGCGCUCACUGUGCCCA
This is a long non-coding RNA of Pezoporus occidentalis (night parrot), 2289 nucleotides long. RefSeq lists it as uncharacterized. Lineage: Eukaryota; Metazoa; Chordata; Aves; Psittaciformes; Psittacidae. The transcript has 2 exons. The record is from RefSeq and is a predicted model, not a curated record.